AUUUACAUCCAACGGUGAGUAACC
RNAcentral lists this microRNA (24 nucleotides) under Prunus persica (peach). RNAcentral describes it as "microRNA miRNA_160". The record is from RNAcentral. Lineage: Eukaryota; Viridiplantae; Streptophyta; Magnoliopsida; Rosales; Rosaceae.